AGCAGUUGUGAUUUGCAAAGGUUUCUUACCAUUGUCCUGGGUUCUACCUUGGCCUUAAGCUUCGUCCUAUCUGCUUUCUUCAUAUACAAGAUCAAGACAAAAAGAUGUUAUCACUGCAAAGCAUCUGGUAAUGUUCAGCAGAGAGACGAGGACUCUUUGGUCUAUUCGGCGCUGACCGUCGUCUCCAGGAAAAGGGUUCAAUUGGAUCGGGCCGAUGGAGACUUCAGCACAUAUACAGACGUCUGUCUUCGGAAAUCUUAGAGGCUAAAUUAAUUCAUACAAGCCUUUUCUGUAAAUCCUAAAUUUAUUCUGAUUACAAAGUAUUUAGGAAGACCAAGAAACCAUUUUUUGGGGAAUUUGAUUUUAACAAUACUAGGUGUACAAAAAGUAUAAUAUACGAGAUGUAAGAUUGUAAAUGCCAUUAUAACGAUGUAUACUUGUGAAAAACUGCAUUAAGGACUAAUGCACCACAUUUAUUUCAUAUUUAUAUCAUAUUUCAGUAAUUGAUGACGAUUUUUAAUGCAGAGAUAAUGUGAUCAUGUUGCAAUGUUGUUUUAAGUCAGGUAUUACUUGUGCUUUGCACAAAAAUCAAUUAGAAAUACAUUAGAAAUACAUUGCAUUUGUGUUUAGUUUCAACAUGUGAUGUUCGUGCUUAUUUCCUGAAAAUAAAUAAGUCUUGAAAUGUA
Molecule: long non-coding RNA, 686 nt
Organism: Corythoichthys intestinalis (scribbled pipefish)
Lineage: Eukaryota; Metazoa; Chordata; Actinopteri; Syngnathiformes; Syngnathidae
Exons: 3
Source: RefSeq, a predicted model, not a curated record